RNAcentral lists this ribosomal RNA (458 nucleotides) under Rhabditis sp. RA5. RNAcentral's name for it is "SSU rRNA". It matches the Rfam family "Eukaryotic small subunit ribosomal RNA", at positions 90 to 590 of the family's 1831-position model. The record is from RNAcentral. Lineage: Eukaryota; Metazoa; Nematoda; Chromadorea; Rhabditida; Rhabditidae.
CGAACGCCUCUUAGAAGCCUUAUAAAUUUUUCGCGUGCUGUUAGGGUAUUUUUGGCGAUGAAGAUAUUACAGCGCACAAGUCUUUUGGAGGGCGCAUUAUAGAAGUACAGGCUUGCCGGCGGUUGAGUUCAAUUAUGGUUUCGAUGUCGGAAGGCGAUUUCCGAUGGCCGUAAACAGUGUACGCCCUAUCACCCAGCAGGUUAAUCAUUCGCUAACCAGGGGUAUUACGGGUAACGGAGAACUAGGGUUCGUCUCCGGAGAAGAAGCCUUUGAAAGGCUACUACAUCCAAGGAAGGCAGCAGGCGCGUAACUUAUCCACUACCACAGUGAGAUAGUAACUAGUCUUAACUAUUGACUGAUCUUUUAGGUUAGUCAUGGUCCAUGAGUUGAGCCUAAAUAGCUCUUCGAGGACCAAGUGGAGGGCAAGUCUGGUGCCAGCAGCCGCGGUAAUUCCAGCU